This 230-nucleotide long non-coding RNA is filed under the name Lathyrus oleraceus (garden pea). RNAcentral's name for it is "Pisum sativum (pea) long non-coding RNA (PSAT_LNC011006)". Lineage: Eukaryota; Viridiplantae; Streptophyta; Magnoliopsida; Fabales; Fabaceae. The record is from RNAcentral.
AAAAAAAUUUAAAAAAAUAUCUUUUAAAUUCGUUAAACAAACGAACUGAAUCUAACGAGAUAAAUCUAACAAAAUAAACAUAACGAGAGGAACUGAAUCCUCGUUUUUUUUUUCUUAUUCAACAAUUUUUAUUUAUUAAAAAACUAACUAAUAUUGAAUUACCUCGCACACCAUAAUAUAAUAAGUAAUAAAUGUGAUCAAUUUUAUAAAGUUAUAUAUUUGUUUUUAAA